UUAGAGUGUCGGUGCAUAACUUCAUCCACGUCUGAUCGGGAGAAGCCGGUGCGAAUCCGGCGCUGACCCGCAACCGUGAGUACGGCCCACCGGGACCGUACGAGCCGGAGCGCCCGGAUCGGACGUGACAGGCUC
RNAcentral lists this non-coding RNA (135 nucleotides) under Streptomyces albus. The record is from RNAcentral. Lineage: Bacteria; Bacillati; Actinomycetota; Actinomycetes; Kitasatosporales; Streptomycetaceae.